RNAcentral lists this ribosomal RNA (461 nucleotides) under uncultured Lachnospiraceae bacterium. RNAcentral describes it as "bacterial SSU rRNA". It matches the Rfam family "Bacterial small subunit ribosomal RNA", at positions 920 to 1382 of the family's 1533-position model. The record is from RNAcentral. Lineage: Bacteria; Bacillati; Bacillota; Clostridia; Lachnospirales; Lachnospiraceae.
CCCGCACAAGCAGCGGAGCAUGUGGUUUAAUUCGAAGCAACGCGAAGAACCUUACCAAGACUUGACAUCCCCUGACAGCUGUUGAAAGGCAGUGUCUCUUCGGAGCAGGGAGACAGGUGGUGCAUGGUUGUCGUCAGCUCGUGUCGUGAGAUGUUGGGUUAAGUCCCGCAACGAGCGCAACCCUUAUCCUUAGUUACCAGCACGUAAAGGUGGGGACUCUAGGGAGACCGCCGGGGACGACUCGGAGGAAGGUGGGGACGACGUCAAAUCAUCAUGCCCCUUAUGUCUUGGGCUACACACGUGCUACAAUGGCCGCAACAGAGGGAAGCGAGAGCGCAAGCUGGAGCAAAACCCUAAAAAGCGGUCCCAGUUCGGAUUGUGGGCUGCAACCCGCCCACAUGAAGUCGGAGUUGCUAGUAAUCGCGAAUCAGCAUGUCGCGGUGAAUGCGUUCCCGGGCCUU